GCAUUACCAGAAAUUGGUGUCAUUGUGAGGUUACGCUUGAAUAAUUGUGGUUUUAAUAUCACACACAUCCAAAUAUAUGUACAAUCACAUUUUGUCAGUGGGUGCAUGUGUUUUUCGGAGAUUGUACUAUUUUGCGCAUCAACAUCGGCGCAUCGCAUCCCAUUCAUGUAAAGAAAGACUAAUUUCUCAAUUUUGUGCACAACAAUCUUGAUUAGCAUCAUCAUAACGAUGAAAAUGUCUUUAAUAUAGACUAGGCAAAUACAUUUUGUAUGCAAAUACGAAUCUCCCCUUUGUUUUAAACAUCGACACCGAGUAUGUUAUGGAAAGAACAUAUACACGGGAACAGCACAUGUAAACAGUCGCCAAUUAAGACAAGUCUCUAUCAUGGAAAAUAUUGUCAGCAGGCAAAGCUAGACAGCAGCAGCAGCAGAAAGUUCAUUGGAAGUAUAAACGAACAGUUUUGUUGUUGAUACGCACUUUGACAAUGAUGUUUUGAUUUGCCAGAAAAAAAUCAGAGACGGUAUCGACGCGCCAUCUGCACGUAUGAUUGGAUUGACAGCUGCACUUUUGAAACGAUGAUUUCUGAAACAC
Long non-coding RNA from Contarinia nasturtii (swede midge), 591 nucleotides. RefSeq lists it as uncharacterized. NCBI's taxonomy places the organism in Eukaryota, Metazoa, Arthropoda, Insecta, Diptera, Cecidomyiidae. The record is from RefSeq and is a predicted model, not a curated record. The transcript is spliced from 4 exons.